RNAcentral lists this ribosomal RNA (661 nucleotides) under uncultured bacterium. RNAcentral's name for it is "bacterial SSU rRNA". It matches the Rfam family "Bacterial small subunit ribosomal RNA", at positions 94 to 788 of the family's 1533-position model. The record is from RNAcentral.
AGUGGCGGACGGGUGAGUAACGCGUGAGAAUCUGCCUUGGGGUCGGGGACAACCACUGGAAACGGUGGCUAAUACCGGAUAAGCCGAUUGGUGAAAGAUUUAUUGCCCGAAGAGGAGCUCGCGUCUGAUUAGCUAGUUGGUGAGGUAAGAGCUCACCAAGGCAGCGAUCAGUAGCUGGUCUGAGAGGACGAUCAGCCACACUGGGACUGAGACACGGCCCAGACUCCUACGGGAGGCAGCAGUGGGGAAUUUUCCGCAAUGGGCGAAAGCCUGACGGAGCAAGACCGCGUGAGGGAGGAAGGCUCUUGGGUUGUAAACCUCUUUUCUCAGGGAAGAAGCUCUGACGGUACCUGAGGAAUCAGCCUCGGCUAACUCCGUGCCAGCAGCCGCGGUAAUACGGAGGAGGCAAGCGUUAUCCGGAAUUAUUGGGCGUAAAGCGUCCGCAGGUGGCGAUUCAAGUCUGCUGUCAAAGCACGGGGCUUAACUCCGUAAAGGCAGUGGAAACUGAAUAGCUAGAGUGCCGUAGGGGUAGAGGGAAUUCCCGGUGUAGCGGUGAAAUGCGUAGAGAUCGGGAAGAACAUCGGUGGCGAAAAGCGCUCUACUGGACGGCAACUGACACUCAGGGACGAAAGCUAGGGGAGCGAAUGGGAUUAGAUACCCC